RNAcentral lists this ribosomal RNA (782 nucleotides) under uncultured Acidobacteriota bacterium. Its description in RNAcentral is "bacterial SSU rRNA". It matches the Rfam family "Bacterial small subunit ribosomal RNA", at positions 66 to 828 of the family's 1533-position model. Lineage: Bacteria; Pseudomonadati; Acidobacteriota. The record is from RNAcentral.
GCGAAAGUCCCCUUCGGGGGACAAGUAGAGUGGCGCACGGGUGAGUAACACGUAGGUAAUCUACCUUUGGAUGGGGAAUAACAACCGGAAACGGUUGCUAAUACCGCAUAAUGCAGCGGCACCUAAUGGUGACAGUUGUUAAAGCGGGGGAUCGAAAGACCUCGCGUCUGAAGAGGAGCCUGCGGCGGAUUAGCUAGUUGGUAAGGUAAUGGCUUACCAAGGCUACGAUCCGUAACCGGCCUGAGAGGGCGGUCGGUCACACUGACACUGACAUACGGGUCAGACUCCUACGGGAGGCAGCAGUCGGGAAUUUUGGGCAAUGGGCGAAAGCCUGACCCAGCAACGCCGCGUGAAGGAUGAAAUCCCUCGGGAUGUAAACUUCGCAAGAACGGGAAGAAUAAGUAGGGGACAAUACCCCCUAUGAUGACGGUACCGUUUGUAAGCUCCGGCUAACUCCGUGCCAGCAGCCGCGGUAAUACGGGGGGAGCAAGCGUUGUUCGGAUUUACUGGGCGUAAAGGGCGCGUAGGCGGCCAGCACAAGUCAGUUGUGAAAUCUCCGAGCUUAACUCGGAAAGGUCAACUGAUACUGUGCGGCUAGAGUGCAGAAGGGGCAACUGGAAUUCUUGGUGUAGCGGUGAAAUGCGUAGAUAUCAAGAGGAACACCUGCGGCGAAGGCGGGUUGCUGGGCUGACACUGACGCUGAGACGCGAAAGCUAGGGGAGCGAACGGGAUUAGAUACCCCGGUAGUCCUAGCCUUAAACGAUGAAUGCUUGGUGUCUGGG